UGCCAGCCGCCGCGGUAAUACAGAGGAUGCAAGCGUUAUCCGGAAUCACUGGGUUUAAAGGGUGCGUAGGCGGUAAUAUAAGUCAGAGGUGAAAGCCCGUCGCUUAACGAUGGAAUUGCCUUUGAUACUGUAUCACUUGAAUUAGGUUGAGGUAGGCGGAAUGUGGCAUGUAGCGGUGAAAUGCAUAGAUAUGCCAUAGAACACCAAUUGCGAAGGCAGCUUACUGGACCUUAAUUGACGCUGAGGCACGAAAGCGUGGGGAGCGAACAGGAUUAGAUA
This 279-nucleotide ribosomal RNA is filed under the name uncultured bacterium. Its description in RNAcentral is "partial 16S ribosomal RNA". It matches the Rfam family "Bacterial small subunit ribosomal RNA", at positions 506 to 784 of the family's 1533-position model. The record is from RNAcentral.